UACGUAGGGGGCAAGCGUUGUUCGGAAUUACUGGGCGUAAAGGGCGCGUAGGCGGCCUACUAAGUCGGACGUGAAAUCCCUCGGCUCAACCGGGGAACUGCGUCCGAUACUGGUGGGCUCGAAUCCGGGAGAGGGAUGUGGAAUUCCAGGUGUAGCGGUGAAAUGCGUAGAUAUCUGGAGGAACACCGGUAGCGAAGGCGGCAUCCUGGACCGGUAUUGACGCUGAUGCGCGAAAGCUAGGGGAGCAAACGGG
This 253-nucleotide ribosomal RNA is filed under the name uncultured bacterium. RNAcentral's name for it is "partial 16S ribosomal RNA". It matches the Rfam family "Bacterial small subunit ribosomal RNA", at positions 524 to 776 of the family's 1533-position model. The record is from RNAcentral.